This 209-nucleotide ribosomal RNA is filed under the name Cytauxzoon sp. RNAcentral describes it as "partial small subunit ribosomal RNA". It matches the Rfam family "Eukaryotic small subunit ribosomal RNA", at positions 287 to 505 of the family's 1831-position model. Lineage: Eukaryota; Apicomplexa; Aconoidasida; Piroplasmida; Theileriidae. The record is from RNAcentral.
UGCGAUUCUCAACUCAGUUUCUGACCUAUCACUUUGGACGUAGGGUAUUGGCCUACCGGGGCACGACGGUAACGGGGAAUUAGGGUUCGAUUCCAGAGAGGGAGCCUGAGAAAUGGCUACCACAUCUAACGAAGGCAGCAGCGCGUAAAUUACUCAGCCUAACACACAGGGGUAGUGACGGAAAUAACAAUACGAGGCUUAAAGUCUUG